Molecule: microRNA precursor, 109 nt
Filed under: Nicotiana tabacum (common tobacco)
Lineage: Eukaryota; Viridiplantae; Streptophyta; Magnoliopsida; Solanales; Solanaceae
Description: miR172i stem-loop (nta-MIR172i)
Gene: nta-MIR172i
Rfam family: mir-172 microRNA precursor family
About the family: mir-172 has been experimentally verified in Arabidopsis thaliana. This family is thought to target mRNAs coding for APETALA2-like transcription factors. The mature sequence is excised from the 3' arm of the hairpin.
Source: miRBase by way of RNAcentral
GUUUGCAGAUGUAGCAUCAUCAAGAUUCACAUAUUAUAAAGGCAUGAUGAUUAACGACCAUGGCCUUUUUGGAGGUGAGAAUCUUGAUGAUGCUGCAUUAGCAAUAAAC